GAUAAUUUCGUUUUCGUUAUCGUUAUACCGCGCAAUAUUUAGGUAGAUCGUAGAUACUCGUAUACGAAUUUUGCGCGUUAAAGCGAUCUGUAGUCACAGCAAGACUUCAUUGACAAUAUUCAGCCAUAGCAUUGACUGUUUUUUCUUCUCUAUUUUAAUCGUCACUUCAAUGUUUGUGUCCGAUAAUGUGUGUGUGUUCAUAUAAUAAUGAUAUUAUUCUUAUUAUCAUAAUAUCAUUAUCAUCAUUAUUCACGGUGGUAUUUUGGUUUUCUAUUUAAGUAGUCUCGGUAACGUGUCCAACGAUCCGUGCGGUGUGCACACGACAAGGCCCGUCUCGUAUAUGCAUCGCGGUGUAGACUGUACACAUAUUAUAUAUAAAUAGUGUAGCGACUAGGAGUACGCGAUUAACCCAUUAGCAGCACUCUUCGGUACAAUUUAUCGCGGCAAUUAUCCCCUCGUCGGCAUCACACAUAAUACACACUCACACACACUUAGAGUUAUUUCGGAAAUAAUAUACACCCCUACGCACCUCCACAACACAUUCGUCUAAAAAGCGUACUCACGGUGCACUUAACAUAUACUCUCACACACAAACACUGUAUAAUAUACAUCUAAAAUGCACCGUGUUCAGGAUGGUCCAUCGAGUUUUCUCAUUUUCCUAAGGUUUGUCUAAUGGGAAUAAGGAGAAUAAUGGUGGUCCACUUUGUCAGUUUGUCACCCUGUGAUUACAAACGUUUCACUUAUUCCGGUUAACGAUUAGUUAGACACAUGCUUGCCAUGCUUCUUGCGCCGAUUUCAAACCCGGAAGCCGCCAGUUGACAUCCGUCCGAACACUUUUACUCUCCAUCGUCUAUGCUAUAAAGUCUUCCUUCGGCAAUCAAAAUUCCCUAAUCGGCUUUGCGAUAACGUGGAUGAUCAAGAACGUUCAAUCCUCUCUUUCUUAUUAUGCCGAUAAAUGCGACAAGCUGGGCUUUUAUUCCAUGUCCGGUCGACAGUGUUUUUCUGCUCAUUGGUGCCUAUGCACAACGGCCCGAACGUGAACACCCUUUUUUAAACGUGUUCAAUAAGCUUGGAAAUGCCACGAGCCCACGAAUAAUAUUGUUCAAAACUGUUAGCUGACCGUCGGAGAAGAAGAAAAACAAUAUUUUCAGCGGAUCUAAUGGGUACAUAUAGGGCUAUAAUCUGUCCCGGUCGAGUGCAUUUAUACAGUCGUUUUCUUGCAGCAGAUCGUAUAAUAUUAUAUUAUAUUGUACAACAAAUAAUUUUAACAUUAUAAACAUUUUUCAGGAGGUACACUUACGUAGUCCAUCUUAGUAAAGAUCUUAGUCAAUCUCUUAGUAAUCUAUACGGUUUUGUGUCUAUAUAUUCUUAUAGUAUAUACAUUAUUCACUUUCAGGAAUAAAAAUGUUCGCGUUUGUGACUCUACUAUACAUUAAGCGAUUAAGAAAUAACGAUAUUGAAGAGUACAACGACCUCAAUUGUCUUUUUCCCGUUUUUCUGGAUAAUGAGAAAAAAUAUUUAAAACUUGAAAAUUGUUUACGAUUUGUAUGAACUGUCCAAUUUAUAUUAAUUUCAGACUAAUAUAAUACUUGUUGUUCCAAAAAACCCUUACUCGCCAAUUUCUGAAAGAUGAUUUAUUAUUGGCAUUCAACGAUUAUAAAAAUAUUUAGGUUAUGUAAUGAUUAUAAUGAAUAUAAAAAUCAACUUGUUCGCAAAAGCUUGUAUAAAAAUACAUUUCUAGACAGUACCUUUUAGCUAUUUACAGUUUUUUAAAUUGCCGUUUUUAAAAGUCCGUUGUGUAUAAUUUGCAAAAGUCCAUUCAGAAUAUUGAAAAAUAGUUGUCAGCUACAAUACUAUAUAAACCUAUAUAAUAUCCACAAACCGCGCAACCGUCCCACAAGAAUGUUAAGUACUACUAUACAGUUUAUACCCAUGUAUGCUUGUUAUAUAAAAUGAUAACAAUAUAACACAUAUAUAAUAUAUUAUGCGCGGUCCAAAUAAUGCCUCUGCCACGACUGCCGGAACCACCACCUAUAAAUCAUCGACGAUAGAGGGAUUUUUGUAAUAAUAAUAAUAUUAUAAUAUAUACCAUCGUCGGGUGAGUAGGGGCAACGUAAAAAGGUGAUUAUUUCCGAUGCGCAAGUAUAAAUUAUAUAAUAAUAAUAAUAUAUUGUGUGUGUGUGUUUUUUUUUUGUUGUCGUCGUCGUCGUCGUCGUCGUCGAAGGGUUCGCUCCAUUAGUUGAAAUAAGAAUGCUAUCGCUCGUCGUGUUUAUAUACUUUAUAAACUAUAGAGUGAGUGAGUAUGUGUGCGUUUGAGAGAGAGAAAGAGAAAGAGAGAAAAGCGACCUCAGCAUAGCCGACAUCUGCAUAAUAAUAACAGUAAUAGUGUGCAUAGAGAAGAGAGAAACGACGAAAAGGGUUAAAAUAAACAUAGCACUGACGGGCUGCCGAUAUCGUGGGAUUUCGGUCAGGUGUAAACAACGACGUGGAUGCUGCGUGGCCGCAAGGUAUAGGACGACGACGACUAUACGCGGUCGUGUUACUCCCUUACAUCGACCCCAUUAACCACCGACGACUGUUUUUUUUUUACUUUUGAUAUUCUUUUUCAUUUUACCCUCCACACCGCUUCAACAAAUUAUUAUUAUUUAAAGAUAUACUCUAUGGGUAUGUGUGUAAUGUAUAUCAAUAUUUAAAUGUAAAUUACUAAACAUAUAUUAUAUAGAUGAGACAGAUGAGUAAUAGUUUAAUGUUUGAUGUAUCGAUUCUCACCAACACCGCGAUGAUAUUGCAGUGUGAUUUCUAGCGGUUUUCGUUUUCUAGUGGUUUGAAGCAGGCGCGAUCUUUUUUUUCAUUAAAAUUAUUAUAUCAAUUAACGCCCAUUUAAAGUAAUAUUUUGUCUGUUAUUACUGAUUUGUAAGUUCUAAUGUCAACCGCGAGAAUUUUAAACUUAUCACGUCUACACCAUAAAUUGGAAUGUCAGGAAGCUACUGUUCCAACUAAAACAGAUGCAAUUCGAAAAACUCUUAAUACACGAUUUUAUUACUAUAAAAUAUAGUAUUUUCCACUAUAAUAUUAUGUUAAUAAUUUUUAUUCGAGAUCUAAAACUUGUCUUCUAUGUACUAUUUAUUACUAUUAUUUAUACGAUAUAUGAGCUUAUUGGACGGAAUCGAUUAAUUCGAUAACUAUUUUCCGUGGAAAUGUUUGAUUUAUUUUUAAGAGAAAUUAAAAUUAUAAAAGGAUUCAAUAUUUUUCGAACACCAAUGAAGUGAGUAAUGUGCUUAUAGACGUAUUUCGUAUAUGACAAUUAUAAUAAUGUUAUAUUAUAAUUUAUAACGCCUAUAAUAUAUUUAAAAAAUACUAUAAUUAUUUUAUUUUAAGCCCUUUUAAAUUUUUUAACACAUGAAGCAUAUGAGUAACAAUUAUUCAUCUUUGAAUAUAGAAUGUUGAAUAAUUUAUUUAUUUUAAUGCACAACUAAAAAAUUGUUUGUAUGUUCCGCAUCUCUUUAAUAUAUUAUAAGUAUAUAUUAUUGUGUACAAUUGAGCGUGGUAUUUGGUAUCUGCACUGCAGCAAAGUAUAUUGUUUUAGUUGUAUUUUAUUUGAUAUUAUUUUAGUCCAAAAAUGGCAUAUCCUAUUACAAAUUGUCUCAACUAAAUACAAAAUGAAACACUAUCGACUUAUGUGCCUUAAUAUAUACGUAUAUACAAUAUAUAUAUAGAGGUGCCUAUAUUUACUGAAACGUGUGCGUAAUAUACACGUAAAGCAGAUCUAAUGACGAUCAAAACUUUUCUACGUGCAUAUAUUGAUAAGGGGUGAAAUAAUUUCUUUAAAAUGCAAAACAAAGAAUUUAGUUUUAAAACUAAGUUAUUUUUCACAUUGUUACACUUAUAUCAUAUUAUUUUUUUUUUUUUUUAAUUUUUUAAUUUUUUUUUUUAUUUAGAAUAAUAAGACAUUCCUAGCCUAUAAGGCUAUCUACAUCUAUGGAUACUUAGUAACAUUAAUUUUUGACUAUUUUAACAUGAUAAUAGUUAAGUAGUAAUAGCGAUAAUAAGUAAUAACAAUAGUGACAAACAAUGGUAAUAAGUUAAGAAUGAUCAGACAUGUAGACAAUAAUGACAUAUCAUAUUAUAAUAUUGUAUAUUUUUACUGUGUGUUCUGUAUGUCGGCUAUAAUAUAUAGAUCAUCCCAUGAUGUAAUAAUACUAAAAUGAAUUAUUAAAGACAAUAAAUAUUUUAAUAUUUAUGUUCAUAAAAUUAAUUUUUAUGUAUGAAUUAGU
Long non-coding RNA from Rhopalosiphum padi (bird cherry-oat aphid), 4274 nucleotides. RefSeq lists it as uncharacterized. NCBI's taxonomy places the organism in Eukaryota, Metazoa, Arthropoda, Insecta, Hemiptera, Aphididae. The transcript has 5 exons. The record is from RefSeq and is a predicted model, not a curated record.